UUUAUUGACUUUAGGAAAGUGAAAAGGAACAUUUGAAAUUCUGAAUAAGUCUCUGGUCAUGAACACAUCUCAAUGUCAAUAAUGGAAGGGAAAGCAAAUUGAAUUUGAACGAAGGACCCUAAACUAUCUCAGUUUGAACAAUAUGGAUGCUACCUGAACAAAGCCGUAGAAAGUAAAGACAGCCUGAUCCCAUCUGAAAAUGAGAAGCCCCUGGCUAGGAGUUCCCAGUGCUUCCAGUUGCAUUACUUGGGUAAAAUGGCCGGCCUUUACCGCAGCUCGACCACUUUCCCGAAGAAGUACUUUAAUACGUCGUGUAACCCAGGAUAGACAUUAGUCAAGAGCCUUCGUCCGUCGAAGCAACACCUCCAGACCUCUAUUUCAGUCUCAAAGUGAGGAUGACAGGAGGCCCUUCCAGUGAGCGAGUGGCGAACUGGCAACUCCGGCAGUAGGUGAGUUUCUAAAGCGUAAUAAAUGGGGGGGCGAUUAAGUUACGCAGUGAGGUUGUUGCCGCCGGAGGGAGU
This is a long non-coding RNA of Macrobrachium nipponense, 521 nucleotides long. RefSeq lists it as uncharacterized. The transcript is spliced from 3 exons. Lineage: Eukaryota; Metazoa; Arthropoda; Malacostraca; Decapoda; Palaemonidae. The record is from RefSeq and is a predicted model, not a curated record.